Molecule: long non-coding RNA, 481 nt
Filed under: Monodelphis domestica (gray short-tailed opossum)
Lineage: Eukaryota; Metazoa; Chordata; Mammalia; Didelphimorphia; Didelphidae
Description: lncRNA (ENSMODG00000046515.1)
Source: RNAcentral
CAUCAUGCCAGGGCAAAUUAUUAUUUCAGGCAACAGCAUGAGGUCCAUCCCCAUGGCUCAGACUUUCUAUAAGCUACAUGCCUACCCAUUUUGUGACUGACUUUUCCACCCUGAGACCUCUGUGGACCAGCCCCUGGAAGAUAUCUUUCUUUUGACACUUGUUUUUCUUUCAGGAAGCCAUGAAGACAUUCACAGGAUCAUAGAAUGUUAGAGCUAGAAGAAAUCUGAACCUGACAAAUACUACGUGCCUAAAAAGUGCUUGUUAACUAUUAUGUUGUUCGUACUCAAUUGAAGUCAUGGCUCUUGAAGAUUUAUACAAGUAGAGAGGAAUGUGAUGAAUAUUAUGGUAAAGGAAUUGAUGCAGAGUGAAAGGAGCCGAAGCAGGAGAACAUUGUACACAGAGACUGAUACACUGUGGUAUAAUCGAAUUUAAAGGACUUGUCCAUUAGUGGCAAUGCAGUGACCCUGAAUAACUUGGAGG